RNAcentral lists this ribosomal RNA (445 nucleotides) under uncultured bacterium. RNAcentral's name for it is "partial 16S ribosomal RNA". It matches the Rfam family "Bacterial small subunit ribosomal RNA", at positions 354 to 796 of the family's 1533-position model. The record is from RNAcentral.
GUGAGGAAUAUUGGUCAAUGGGCGGGAGCCUGAACCAGCCAAGUCGCGUGAAGGAAGAAGGAUCUAUGGUUCGUAAACUUCUUUUGCAGGGGAAUAAAGUGCAGGACGUGUCCUGUUUUGUAUGUACCCUGAGAAUAAGGAUCGGCUAACUCCGUGCCAGCAGCCGCGGUAAUACGGAGGCUCCGAGCGUUAUCCGGAUUUAUUGGGUUUAAAGGGUGCGUAGGUGGUUUGAUAAGUCAGCGGUGAAAGUUUGCAGCUUAACUGUAAAAAUGCCGUUGAAACUGUCGGACUUGAGUGUAAAUGAGGUAGGCGGAAUGCGUGGUGUAGCGGUGAAAUGCAUAGAUAUCACGCAGAACUCCGAUUGCGAAGGCAGCUUACUAAGCUACAACUGACACUGAAGCACGAAAGCGUGGGGAUCAAACAGGAUUAGAUACCCUGGUAGUCC